CGGACGGGUGAGUAACGCGUGAGGAUCUGGCUUCAGGAUGGGGAUAACAUUGGGAAACUGAUGCUAAUACCCGAUAUGGCGAGAGGUAAAAGAUUUAUCGCCUGAAGAUGAACUCGCGUCCGAUUAGCUAGUUGGAGUGGUAAGGGCACCCCAAGGCGAUGAUCGGUAGCUGGUCUGAGAGGAUGAUCAGCCACACUGGGACUGAGACACGGCCCAGACUCCUACGGGAGGCAGCAGUGGGGAAUUUUCCGCAAUGGGCGCAAGCCUGACGGAGCAAUACCGCGUGCGGGAGGACGGCCUUUGGGUUGUAAACCGCUUUUCUCAGGGAAGAAGGUCUGACGGUACCUGAGGAAUCAGCAUCGGCUAACUCCGUGCCAGCAGCCGCGGUAAUACGGAGGAUGCAAGCGUUAUCCGGAAUUAUUGGGCGUAAAGCGUCCGCAGGUGGUUAGACAAGUCUGCUGUUAAAGCGUGGAGCUUAACUCCAUAAGGGCGGUGGAAACUGUUUAACUAGGGUAUGGUAGGGGUCACGGGAAUUCCCAGUGUAGCGGUGAAAUGCGUAGAUAUUGGGAAGAACACCAGCGGCGAAAGCGCGUUACUGG
This 599-nucleotide ribosomal RNA is filed under the name Leptolyngbya sp. CCC 732. Its description in RNAcentral is "bacterial SSU rRNA". It matches the Rfam family "Bacterial small subunit ribosomal RNA", at positions 99 to 732 of the family's 1533-position model. Lineage: Bacteria; Bacillati; Cyanobacteriota; Cyanophyceae; Leptolyngbyales; Leptolyngbyaceae. The record is from RNAcentral.